UCCUACGGGGGGCUGCAGUGAGGAAUUUUCCGCAAUGGGCGCAAGCCUGACGGAGCGACGCCGCGUGAAGGAUGAAGGCUUUCGGGUCGUAAACUUCUUUUGUGGGGGACAAGUUGAUGAUGGUACUCCACGAAUAAGCCCCGGCUAACUACGUGCCAGCAGCCGCGGUAAUACGUAGGGGGCGAGCGUUGUCCGGAAUUACUGGGCGUAAAGGGCGUGUAGGCGGUUGGAUAAGUCUGGUGUGAAAUGGCGAGGCUCAACCUCGUCGCUGCGCUGGAAACUGUCUGACUGGAGUUCGGCAGGGGUUACUGGAAUCCCCGGUGUAACGGUGAAAUGUGUAGAUAUCGGGGGGAACACCUGUGGCGAAGGCGGGUAACUGGGCCGAGACUGACGCUGAUACGCGAAAGCGUGGGGAGCAAACAGGAUUAGAUACCCUAGUAGUC
Molecule: ribosomal RNA, 443 nt
Filed under: uncultured bacterium
Lineage: Bacteria
Description: bacterial SSU rRNA
Rfam family: Bacterial small subunit ribosomal RNA
Source: RNAcentral